This 445-nucleotide long non-coding RNA is filed under the name Rattus norvegicus (Norway rat). RNAcentral describes it as "long non-coding RNA NONRATT008024". The record is from RNAcentral. Lineage: Eukaryota; Metazoa; Chordata; Mammalia; Rodentia; Muridae.
CUGAUAGAGAAGGACUCUUGCAAACAGGCACAGCUGAUCCAGGGGGAGUGGUGGCUGGUUUGCUCAGAAGGUCCUGUUCCACAACGGAAGGUAUCUCAGCUAUGUCUCCAGCAGACUUCUGGGAGGUGCAGAUGCUAUACAUGGAGUUUCAGAGUCCUGGCAGUCAUUUCAGACAUAUUUCUCCUUGUUCUGUCUGGCUAGGAAGGUGGGUUUGGACCAGUCAGGAAUACAUUCAGCCUCAUACAGAUGAGCAGCCAGCUGACACAGGGGAUUUUUUCAAUGUUAACUUCCUUAUCAUACAUCGACAGAUGGUAUCACAUGCACUUAGAGCAUUCGACGUGGUGUUUUUGUGCAUGCAAUGGUUCAGGGUUUGUUCGACCUGCGGGCCACGUGCGGACGGGUGCAGCUGAAGCCAGGUACGGUGUAAACCAACGUCAAAGUGUAC